ACGAGAAGACCCCAUGGAGCUUUAAACCCAACAGCACCUAUUCUUUUUAAAUCCACUUAUUCUUAUAGUAAGUGCUUGCUUGGUUUUAGGUUGGGGUGACCGCGGAGUAAAAAUGAGCCUCCACGAAAAAAGGCAUAAAAGCCUUAUCAAAGAAUCACACUUCUAUGAAUUAGUAAACUAAUUUUUGAUGAUCCGAUAUUCGAUCAACGAACCAAGUUACCCUGGGGAUAACAGCGCAAUCCACCUCAAGAGCUCCUAUCGACAAGUGGGUUUACGACCUCGAUGUUGGAUCAGGGUACCCCAGUGGUGCAGCAGCUACUAAAGGUUCGUUUGUUCAACGAUUAAAACCCU
RNAcentral lists this ribosomal RNA (351 nucleotides) under Boophis narinsi. Its description in RNAcentral is "partial 16S ribosomal RNA". It matches the Rfam family "Bacterial large subunit ribosomal RNA", at positions 2080 to 2597 of the family's 2925-position model. The record is from RNAcentral. Lineage: Eukaryota; Metazoa; Chordata; Amphibia; Anura; Mantellidae.